UACGUAGGGGGCUAGCGUUGUCCGGAAUCAUUGGGCGUAAAGCGCGCGUAGGCGGCCAGAUAAGUCCGGUGUGAAAGUCACAGGCUCAACCUGUGAAUGCCGCUGGAAACUGUCUGGCUAGAGUCCGGAAGGGGCGAGUGGAAUUCCUGGUGUAGCGGUGAAAUGCGCAGAUAUCAGGAGGAACACCAAUGGCGAAGGCAGCUCGCUGGGACGGUACUGACGCUGAGGCGCGAAAGCGUGGGAGCAAACAGG
RNAcentral lists this ribosomal RNA (252 nucleotides) under uncultured bacterium. RNAcentral's name for it is "partial 16S ribosomal RNA". It matches the Rfam family "Bacterial small subunit ribosomal RNA", at positions 524 to 776 of the family's 1533-position model. The record is from RNAcentral.